GGGCGCAAGCCUGAUGCAGCCAUGCCGCGUGUAUGUAAGAAGGCCUUCGGGUUGUAAAGUACUUUCAGCAGUGAGGAAGGUGGUGUAGUUAAUAGCUGCAUUAUUGACGUUAGCUGCAGAAGAAGCACCGGCUAACUCCGUGCCAGCAGCCGCGGUAAUACGGAGGGUGCGAGCGUUAAUCGGAAUUACUGGGCGUAAAGCGCAUGCAGGUGGUUUGUUAAGUCAGAUGUGAAAGCCCGGGGCUCAACCUCGGAAUUGCAUUUGAAACUGGCAGACUAGAGUACUGUAGAGGGGGUAGAAUUUCAGGUGUAGCGGUGAAAUGCGUAGAGAUCUGAAGGAAUACCGGUGGCGAAGGCGGCCCCCUGGACAGAUACUGACACUCAGAUGCGAAAGCGUGGGGAGCAAACAGGAUUAGAUACCCUGGUAG
This 427-nucleotide ribosomal RNA is filed under the name uncultured bacterium. RNAcentral's name for it is "bacterial SSU rRNA". It matches the Rfam family "Bacterial small subunit ribosomal RNA", at positions 373 to 793 of the family's 1533-position model. The record is from RNAcentral.